RNAcentral lists this ribosomal RNA (404 nucleotides) under Actinomycetes bacterium. RNAcentral's name for it is "Actinobacteria bacterium partial 16S ribosomal RNA". It matches the Rfam family "Bacterial small subunit ribosomal RNA", at positions 355 to 776 of the family's 1533-position model. Lineage: Bacteria; Bacillati; Actinomycetota; Actinomycetes. The record is from RNAcentral.
UGGGGAAUAUUGGACAAUGGGCGCAAGCCUGAUCCAGCCAUGCCGCGUGAGUGAUGAAGGCCCUAGGGUUGUAAAGCUCUUUCACCGGUGAAGAUAAUGACGGUAACCGGAGAAGAAGCCCCGGCUAACUUCGUGCCAGCAGCCGCGGUAAUACGAAGGGGGCUAGCGUUGUUCGGAUUUACUGGGCGUAAAGCGCACGUAGGCGGACUUUUAAGUCAGGGGUGAAAUCCCGGGGCUCAACCCCGGAACUGCCUUUGAUACUGGAAGUCUUGAGUAUGGUAGAGGUGAGUGGAAUUCCGAGUGUAGAGGUGAAAUUCGUAGAUAUUCGGAGGAACACCAGUGGCGAAGGCGGAUCACUGGACCAUUACUGACGCUGAGGUGCGAAAGCGUGGGGAGCAAACAGG